RNAcentral lists this long non-coding RNA (206 nucleotides) under Lathyrus oleraceus (garden pea). Its description in RNAcentral is "Pisum sativum (pea) long non-coding RNA (PSAT_LNC034579)". Lineage: Eukaryota; Viridiplantae; Streptophyta; Magnoliopsida; Fabales; Fabaceae. The record is from RNAcentral.
UGGUGUUCAUGAAAAAAUACUGCUACUGUUUUUGUCAAUGUUUUUUUCAUUUAUUUUCAGCAAAUUUUUAUAUUAUAUAUUAAUGCAUGCACUAGAAUGACAAGUAAAGGGUCAUGCACCAUGACCCGGGCUCGAUUCAUGACGCUUUCUAUUUAUUUAUUUAUUUUAGUCUCUCUUUUUUUUCUCUUCAUUUUUGCAAGGUUUAU